RNAcentral lists this ribosomal RNA (440 nucleotides) under uncultured bacterium. Its description in RNAcentral is "partial 16S ribosomal RNA". It matches the Rfam family "Bacterial small subunit ribosomal RNA", at positions 338 to 795 of the family's 1533-position model. The record is from RNAcentral.
CCUACGGGAGGCAGCAGUGGGGAAUAUUGCACAAUGGAGGGAACUCUGAUGCAGCGACGCCGCGUGAGUGAAGAAGUAAUUCGUUAUGUAAAGCUCUAUCAGCCGGGAAGAAAGUGACGGUACCUGAAAAAGAAGCUCCGGCUAAAUACGUGCCAGAAGCCGCGGUAAUACGUAUGGAGCAGGCGUUAUCCGGAUUUACUGGGUGUAAAGGGAGAGUAGGUGGCAGAGCAAGUCCGAAGUGAAAACCCAAAGCCCAAAUAUGGGAAUGCUGUAGAAACUGCUCAGCUAGAGUGCAGGAGAGGUAAGCGGAAUGCUUGGUGUAGCGGUGAAAUGCGUAGAUAUCACGCGGAACACCAGUGGCGAAGGCGGCUUGCUGGACUGUAACUGACACUGAGGCUCGAAAGCGUGGGGAGCAAACAGGAUUAGAUACCCCGGUAGUC